GAAAUGCGAUAAGUAAUGUGAAUUGCAGAAUUCAGUGAAUCAUCGAAUCUUUGAACGCACAUUGCGCCCGCCAGUAUUCUGGCGGGCAUGCCUGUUCGAGCGUCAUUUCAACCAUCAAGCCCCCGGCUUGUGUUGGGGACCUGCGGCUGCCCGCAGGCCCUGAAAAACAGUGGCGGGCUCGCUGUCACUCCGAGCGUAGUAGCAUACAUUCUCGCUCAGGGCGUGCUGCGGGUUCCGGCCGUUAAACGACCUUCAUAACCCAAGGUUGACCUCGGAUCAGGUAGGAAGACCCGCUGAACUUAAGC
This 305-nucleotide unclassified non-coding RNA is filed under the name plant metagenome. RNAcentral's name for it is "partial contains 5.8S ribosomal RNA, internal transcribed spacer 2, and large subunit ribosomal RNA". The stretch from base 1 to 105 matches the Rfam family "5.8S ribosomal RNA", at positions 50 to 154 of the family's 154-position model. The record is from RNAcentral.